This is a long non-coding RNA of Fopius arisanus, 737 nucleotides long. RefSeq lists it as uncharacterized. NCBI's taxonomy places the organism in Eukaryota, Metazoa, Arthropoda, Insecta, Hymenoptera, Braconidae. The record is from RefSeq and is a predicted model, not a curated record. The transcript has 4 exons.
AGACUGUAAUAAUUUUAUCCCCGAUGACCAUCCCGCCACCUUAUCUGCAGCUCUGUGCUUGUCAAAAUCGUCGUAUAACGACAUUUUCGAGAUGGAAUUGCGAGAAAAUUCAAACCAGAGAGGAUUGACUAAAGUCGAGGCUCAGUUCUAGGCAUUUGAGUGACCCCACCACCAUUCUAGAAUCUCACCCCAAGGGAGAGAGAGGGCGCCACACGCAAUGCGCUGGCGUGUCUGCCCGUCAGCCGACUCGGUAACAGCCUCAGUAGCAGUCCCGCUGUCAGAGGGAGCAGUUGAACGGACUUUUGGAGAUUAUAGCCUCCGAGAAGUCGAGUUGGUCGAACAAAACAAUUGCAGCAGUCGAAUUCAAAAUCCACUAUUGGAACAUCGAAUUGCAGUCAAUUAUCUCAAUCACCACUAAUUUCGGUUUUCACGACGGAUGCGCAGUUCUCCAGGUAGCAGAGAAAAAGAAUAUCAACGACGAUGGCAUGACUCGUGGAGAAAACAUAAACCACUGGAGAAGUCGGUAAAUAAACGUCCAUACCCUCCUCCAGGAGGCCUCCACCACUUGUCAAAUGCGCCUACACCUGGAUAACAGCUAGAAUCCACAUUUUCAGACAACUCCAAGAAAAUAAUUAUCAUAAAUACAUGAUAUGAACUAAUUAUAAUAUGUAAAAUUGAAUUGUAUCGUUUUCGUAAUGAAUGUUUAUAAAUAAAAACAAAAAAACGGAAUGAAUCAU